This is a long non-coding RNA of Melospiza melodia melodia, 162 nucleotides long. RefSeq lists it as uncharacterized. NCBI's taxonomy places the organism in Eukaryota, Metazoa, Chordata, Aves, Passeriformes, Passerellidae. The transcript has 3 exons. The record is from RefSeq and is a predicted model, not a curated record.
AAGAGGUUCCAUUAACAGAGCCAAAUGCUGGGAUAUGAAUGGAAAUCUGUUCCUGAAGAGUGGUAUCCAAAUCCAGCAGAGAAGUUUUUAGAAGAAUUGACAGCUGGAUCUCUGAUGCAAUGAUGAUUGGACUCAUCGUCCUGCAAGGAAUAUAAAGCUGAG